Molecule: ribosomal RNA, 253 nt
Filed under: uncultured bacterium
Lineage: Bacteria
Description: partial 16S ribosomal RNA
Rfam family: Bacterial small subunit ribosomal RNA
Source: RNAcentral
UACGUAGGGGGCAAGCGUUGUCCGGAAUCAUUGGGCGUAAAGCGCGCGUAGGCGGUCCUUUAAGUCUGCUGUGAAAGCCCACGGCUCAACCGUGGAGGGUCAUUGGAAACUGGGGGACUUGAGUGCAGGAGAGAAGAGUGGAAUUCCACGUGUAGCGGUGAAAUGCGUAGAGAUGUGGAGGAACACCAGUGGCGAAGGCGACUCUUUGGCCUGUAACUGACGCUGAGGCGCGAAAGCGUGGGGAGCAAACAGG